This is a long non-coding RNA of Carlito syrichta (Philippine tarsier), 802 nucleotides long. RefSeq lists it as uncharacterized. The transcript is spliced from 5 exons. The record is from RefSeq and is a predicted model, not a curated record. NCBI's taxonomy places the organism in Eukaryota, Metazoa, Chordata, Mammalia, Primates, Tarsiidae.
GGCCGCCCUUUCCCCUGCGGCCUCGGCCCGGGCCGGUUGGCUCCGCUGAGCUCCGAGCACGUGCGGAAUGGCCAGCUGUGGCAGAUGCAACUCCAGGAUGACGUGAAAGUAGGGCUUCCUUCAUCCAUCUGAAGAAAGGAAUAGUGGCAGGUGACAGUUUGCAUGUGGAGUUUUCAGGUACAUAUCCCUAUUUUUUCCAACAUUGACCACCUCCUCUGUGCCAGUCCUGUUGGCUGGUUGAUAUUCAUCAAGAAACAAUCGGGAGAUUCUUUCAUCUGAAUGAGAAACCUGCCUCCAUUAGGACCUCAGAUGUCUGGCAGCCCUGUAUGACACCAAGAUAAUAAGUAACGAUCCCAUUGCGGAAACUACAUUCCAUUUAUUCAUGUCUUCAUGGGCGGCCCCCCUUUGCUGUGACAACUUCUUAGACUUGUUUUUAAUGAUCUGACAGUUUCAAAGAAUCCUGUUCAAGUAUUUUGUAGAAAGUCCCUCAAUUGGGGUUGAGUUUCGCUCAUGGGUUUAUGGACUUUUGGGAGGAAGAGCAUUCUCAUGUAUCAUAGGAACAUGACUAUCCACGUGACUUAUAAUUGGAUGUUAACCUUGAUCACUUGGCCAGGUUUCUCCACUGUAAUUAUUCCUCCCCCCCUUCCAUACUGUAUCCUUUGGAAUGAACUCCCUAGGCCCACUCCACACUUGAAUGGAAAUUUGUGCUGUCCUGGAAGGUAGAAUAUCUACAUAAGUUAUUUGUAAUUAUUCUGAAAGAAAUUUUUCUUCUCACAUUUAUUAAAUUUGUUUAUACCACUAA